This 7680-nucleotide long non-coding RNA is filed under the name Medicago truncatula (barrel medic). Its description in RNAcentral is "long non-coding RNA (MTRU_LNC005829)". The record is from RNAcentral. Lineage: Eukaryota; Viridiplantae; Streptophyta; Magnoliopsida; Fabales; Fabaceae.
UGAAACUAUAACUCGUAAGCUUGGUUAUAAACCCAUGAUAACAAGUGUAAGACAACAAAAUAAAAAAGUUGUAUGAAUAAUCAAUUUGCUUUUCUUGUUUAAUCACAAAAUAAGCUAUGUGAUGAUAUUUUAGAAUCUAUAUAAAUUGAGUGUGUAAGGUUGAUUUCACCCUGCUGCAGAUUGCUCAAUCUUUCCUGUAAACUAGUGUUGGGUACUCUGGAUUCCACAUGUUAUUAAUCACGUAUUCCUUAAUUUCAUCCUGCAACUCCACAAAAGAACAUGGAUAAGUAUAUCAAUAUUUGAAUUUAAUGUUAAAUAAGAAUCAUUUCUUCCUGAUAAUUCAUAUUGGCAUGCAAAACUUAACAAUGUAAGCCAAAAAAACUAAGCAGUUAAAACCCCAAUUUCUGAAAAGCCUAUGGAAAGCUCACAAACUUUGAACCAUGGACGGUAAGUCCUACAGAAAACAAAACACCAUACGAAUCAAGCAGAAUAAAACCUUCAUAACUUCCCACUUUUCAAAAUUGUCUACCAAGGAACCUUUUGAUGAAUACAGGAACAAAUUCCCACCCAUUCUAACCAUGUUUGCAUCUUAAACAUAUUUUAUUUGGGCAAAGGGAGAAAUGGUUAAAAAAAUCCUCCAAUGCAACAACACUACGUGAAGCCAAUGUUAAUUUGAACCGGAUCCUUGAUCAUGUUUAACAAUCAUACAUUGAUCAUCGAUUUGUGUUCUGCGAAUAUUUUAAUACCACGGCAUGAGGAACAAUUUGCUAAGAAUGGAAAAUGCACAACCUUUAAACAGUUUUGUAGUAGUUUUUGGUUUGAAUUUGGAAGCAACUUUGAGCACAGCUAAGUGAACCCAUUUAAGAGGGUAAAUCUCUCACAGUAGCUAUAUUUUCCAUUUGUAAGACUUGAACCUAAUACUAUGAAAACCAAUUUCCUUACCAUUUGAACUAACAAGAAGUGUAAUAUAAUAUAAUGGGUCUAUUAACUUGGUAAAAAGGAUCUGCAACUUUUUUCUUUCAGCAAUAGAGACAGUAAUUUAUAUUUAUAUCAUUUUCAAAAAGGAGUUUAUAAUUUAAAAAGAUGAAUUUUUAUAUUAUUGUUUUUUGUAAGUAAAGUAAAGUAUGAUCAUGGAGACAUAUUUAUGCAUAAGACUUAUUAAAACUUCACAUUGGCCUGGUAUGUGGAUAACGUCAUAAAAACUUGGGAAAUCCUCUCAUAAAUCUAAAGAGAAUAGCUGGAGUAAAAUCAAUCUCCCGCGCAGUAGACAAGCCUAGUCUAACAGAUGGUAGUGGUACCAACUAAUUCCACAUGGACCUUACGAGUGUAUUUGCAGGCAAAAUUAAUUCGAACCACAUUAUAGUAGAGAUUACAUUGGUACGUAGUCCAGAAGUUACAAACAUAAUCUCUAAUAUUUUGAAACAAACAAAACUUACCCGACUAAGUUUGCGAAGCUCUCGAGCAUCCAUUUCAUGAUAUCCUUCUGCUAGAUCCUCCUCCACAUCAUGUAUAUUGAAUUCAAAUUGAGGAUGCAACAACACUCAGCUCUGUCCCAUAAAACCUCUCUGCAACUCUCUCAGCAACAUCAACCCUCCCAUGAGUUUUACAAGCUCCAAACAAAGCACCCACCAAAGCUUCAUCAGGCCUAACAUCCAUUUUCAAUGUCAACUUCUCUGCUUCUUCCACUAAACCAACCCUCCCCAACAUAUCCACCAUACAUGUAUAAUGCCUCACAUCAGGUUUCACCCCAAACCUCACCUUCAUCAUCUCAAAAAUCUCCCUCCCUUUCUCGACAAACCCGCCAUGACUACACGCAGUCAAAACAACCGUAAAACUCACAUUAUCCAUCCUCUCUCCUACUUCCACCAUUCUAUUAAACAUCUCAAAAACCUCUUCAAACCUACCAUGCAUUCCAUAACCUGCUAUCAUCGUCGACCAAGUAACCUCAUUCCUUUCGCACAUUCCAUCAAACACUUUGCGCGCAAAUUCUAACUCCCCGCAUUUAGCAUACAUGUUUAUCAAAGCAUUAGAAUUUUUCAAAUCUAACGCAAACCCAUUUACCAAAACAGCUCCAUGAACUUGUUUCCCAAGCCUUAACGCCGAUAAACCAGCGCAAGAUUUUAGCACAAGCGGCAAAGUAUGGCAAUCAAAGGGUUUAUAAGACAACCUCAUUUCACGAAAUAGCGAAAGCGUUUCUUUAAAUAGGUUGAGAGAUAAAUAGGCUCUAAUGAGAGAGUUGUUGAGGAAAGUGGGUUUGCGAUUUGUGAAUGAAAAAAGAAUAUUUGCUUGGUGCAAUUUGGAACAUGAAGCAUAGCAAGAAACAAGUUUGGUUCGAAUGAAAUCAUCGUGUGAAAUACCUAAACGAAUUGUGCGUGCAUGGAUUAUUUUGAGGCUGUUUAUGUUUUUCGAGGAAAAACAUUUGUUGAGAAGUGUUGCGUAUAAUGGUUUGAGUUCAUGAGGUUUGGCCAUGACGUUAAUAAACCAAACACCUAAUAGGUUGAAACAAAGAAAUUUAUGUUAUGAGAGUUGUUCAAAUUUUUUAAGGAUUCUAUAUUCUAUUUUGAUUGAUCAUUGUAUUUGACAGUGGCUUUUGAAAUGCUGCAAAAACACUUUGCAAACGAAACAAGUUUGGGUGUUGUGGCCGGGUUGUAUCUAUUAAGAGGGAUAAUUCGGUAGGAAAAAAGUUUUUUUUUUAUAGAUGCAAACAUAAAUAGUUUAUUUUUUUUAUUUUUUUUAAAUUUCAACAAAAAAAUCUAUAGAUAUUGUUUUAACAUAAAUUGUUUUUUUUUUAAGUUCAAACAAACUCACUCUAAAUCGAGCGUAGGCUAGCAUGCGUUAAACCUAUAUUAAAAAAGAUUUAGUUUGCAAGCGACAAAAUUGUAAAAAUAGGGUUCUGAAAUCCACCAGAAAUUAAGAAAAAACUCUCUAAAAUAUUAUUGAUUGAAUAAAAGUUAUGCCGCUUAGGCUACAUCUGUUUAAGCUUAAAUAGGAAAAUAAUAGUCCUCCUCGUGAGCUUAACUCAGUUGGUAUGGACAAUGGAUAGUAUAUGCAAGGUAUAGGGUUUAAACCCCGACUACCAAAAAAAAAAAGGAAAAUAACAAACUCUGAUGGGCCUAAAAAUAACAAACUGAAAAUAAAACAAACAAAUAAUAAAUAUAAACUUAAACAAUAAAAUACUAAUAAAUUACUAAGGAAACCUUCCUACGUGAGUCUCCUCCAUCUAUGAAGAACUCGACUCCGAGUUCUUGUUCUCCACAACCACAAGUAUGUUCUUUGGUUUAAUAUCUCAGUGCACUAUUGGUAGAUAACUUAACAAGACCUUUCAAUUUGUUGUUGAAUAUUUGGUUUGCUGAAUUGAUUUCUUGCACACAUGUUAUGCCAUUUGCUUUUCUACUAGGAUUACUCUACACUCGGCCCUUGGCAAAGUUCUCAACCUCAUCUAUUGAUGAUGAUAAACUUGAGCUGUUGAUUGAGUUUGAAACAUUCGUUGGCUUGGGAGAAGGCCUCGAUAAUGGGGAGGUGUUGAGCUGCCACUUGUAUGUUUAGAACCAUUCUUAGUGAUUUGCUCUAAUGAGUCCAGGAAUGAUUUUGAAGAUGUUGUGCUUUCAAAUACUAAAAACGGCCAUUAUGAGAUAUGGCAGUUGGUUUCCGAGGAUUAUUCUUCUCAAUGGUUGCUUUCCCAUUAUUGGAUAUGCUGCUUCCACCAAACCCAAUCAUGAAGUCAUCAAAAUCAUGCUAUUUUUUUUUUAAUGGAACUUUUAGCGCUUGGUGCAUGCAAUCCACCGAUCUUAUCUAAUAAAUCAUCAAGACCGACAGUUUUUUCACUAACUCCAUCGAAUAUAUCAUCUACAUAAACCUGCGACAACGAAGAUCCGAAAAUCAGAUUAUUGUCAAGUGAAAAGCUCGAUUUGAAUGUCAAAGUCUCCUUUUGCAACACCGACUCAAUAUUUCGAUUGUUUCCACUACGUGAAACCCUAAUUUGUUCACAUAUCAUGUUUUGAUUUUUGUUAUUGUUGAUGUUGACAAUAUUAGCCGUCAACACCAUCGUUCGAGUCGUGGUUGUUGAGGAUAACGCCGCCAUCAAAUCCGCCACAGCUUUGAUGGUCGCAGCUAAUCCGUCAAUAUAUGCCCUCCUAACCGGUUGAUCUCCCAAAAGAACAUGAGAAACAUGCUCUGAUACCAACUGACGCAGUACGGAAGCGUAGGCUAGCAAGCGCUAAACCUCGAUUGAAAAGAACAAGUUUGCAAGCGACAAACUUGUGAAAAUAAGGUUUUGGAAUCCACCAAAAAAUGAGAAAAAACUCUAAAGUAUUAUUGAUUGAAUAAAAGUUAUGCCUCUUAGACUAUAUCUGUUAAGCUUAAAUAGAAUUACCCACCCCGAACCCAUACUCAAACCCUACCCGAAUGUAGAAAGGUCAUAUUUUUGUUUUUGUUAAGGAGGUUGAUAAUGAUAUGUCAUGUUAUUUGGUUUGAUAAUUGCAUGUUAUUUGGUUUGAUAAUUGUCAUGAUAUAAGAACUUUCACGGAUAGUUAAAGGAGCAACCGAAUUAUUCGGUAACAAAAUUUUAAAAUGAGCGCAAAUUGUUGGAUAAUGCAUUACAACAUUACCAUUGAAGCUUAAAAAAAACUCUUUUUUUAUUAAAAAAAAUUGAUUCGGGGACGGGGAUGUGGUGGGAAUACCCGAACGGGAUGGGGAUGAGAUUCAAUUUCUCAUCCCCGUUGGAUAUGGGUAGGGUAACGGAUAAGUAUAUGGAAGUAUGGGAUGGGGAUGGGGAAGACGAAACACGUCUCCAUCCCGCCCCAUUGCCAUGCCUAAUGAGGUAUAGCAAAUUUUGGAAAAGUUUCUUACUCAAUCAAAUUAUUUAUUUAUUUUUAUUUAUUUAUGGUGAAAAACAUACAAUUUACCUACACUAUCUCACUAUCUGCAUGGUUAACUUACACUCUUCUCGGGUUAGCACAAACUACUUUUUGUUCCCAAGCUUAAAAUCAAAUCUAAGGUACUGUUUCGCCGGGGUUUUUUUCGGUCCAAAAGCUACUUUAAAAUAAAGUUAAAAUAAAGCUCAAUAAGAAAAAGGUAAAAGUUGUUUGAUUUCUUUAUUUUAUUUUUUUUAGUUCUAAAAUUAUUUUGAAGUUAAAAGCUGUUUGGCAAAAUAUUGUACAAAACUUUAAAUUUAUUAUUUUUUUGGUGGUGUUGGUUCGAACCCGGGACCUUGCAUAUACUUAUGCAUUAUCUAUAAAUAAAAAAAUUUGAAUUCAUUAUGAAUUAACAUAAUAAAUAAAAAAAAUGUCUAAAAUAUUUUUUGAAGGGAAAAAAUGUUUAAAAUAUAAAAGAUAUAUCUUUAUAAAUACUAUAUUUAUUCAAUGACGUUUAUUUUGUGUAACAUGAAUACAAAUUUGUAUCAUCAUACAAAGGACUUGUUAAAUAUUUGAAUAGGAGAAAUAAUUUAAGGAGGCUCAAAUAAUAACAUAAAUAAUAUCAAAGUAAUAUCAAAGUAGUUUGGAAAAUUAAAAACAAUAAUCAUCUUUUUUUUUUUUAAAAAAAGACAUAAACCAUCACAAAUUCAAACAUUUCUACUCUCCAUCAACGCAACUCCUAUUUGAUUUCUAACUUUUUUCAUGUAGCCUCCAUCUUGUACUCUUCCUGGAUUAUAUGAACUGAUUUCUUCAUUUAUAUUGCUUUAUUCGUCACGUUCAAUCAUAUAUUCAGAGAUAACAUUUAUAAUAUGUAUAUGUGUGUGUGUGUAAGGAGAAUAAUUUAUUUUUCUUUUCCAAUUAUACUCUAUAACAAAUUUUGUUAUAAAAAUACCAUAAUUUUAGUGUCAGUCAAAAAGAUAAAAAUUUAUAUUAUAUAAUAUUAUUUUUGUUACAUUGUUGGUGUCAUUGGAAAAUUUAUGUUUAAUUUUUUUAAUAAGAAAAAGAUAUACAUAAUUUGUUACAAUACAAAUGUGUAAAAUAUAUAUAAGUAUAACUUUUUUAGGCAACUACACUUGUACUUUUAAUUAAAAUCAAAAUUUUAUAAAAAUAUUAUACACAUUACGCAACACUAAAAAAAAUUAUACGCAUUAGCGUAACGAAAAAACAGACAGACGAACAUAAAGUAUUACUCGAAACGCUAAUGUGUAAUGUUGUCACGAGAAGGGUGAAUUAUUGGUCAUCAGUGUAAUGUUGACACUUACUAAAAAUGAAUUUACAAAUACACCAUUUAAAAAUUGGUGUAACUGCACAAUAGUAUAUGGUGCUACAACCUCACAAAAACUAUAUGUUACUAAUUUACAUGAAACUAUAACUCGUAAGCUUGGUUAUAAACCCAUGAUAACAAGUGUAAGACAACAAAAUAAAAAAGUUGUAUGAAUAAUCAAUUUGCUUUUCUUGUUUAAUCACAAAAUAAGCUAUGUGAUGAUAUUUUAGAAUCUAUAUAAAUUGAGUGUGUAAGGUUGAUUUCACCCUGCUGCAGAUUGCUCAAUCUUUCCUGUAAACUAGUGUUGGGUACUCUGGAUUCCACAUGUUAUUAAUCACGUAUUCCUUAAUUUCAUCCUGCAACUCCACAAAAGAACAUGGAUAAGUAUAUCAAUAUUUGAAUUUAAUGUUAAAUAAGAAUCAUUUCUUCCUGAUAAUUCAUAUUGGCAUGCAAAACUUAACAAUGUAAGCCAAAAAAACUAAGCAGUUAAAACCCCAAUUUCUGAAAAGCCUAUGGAAAGCUCACAAACUUUGAACCAUGGACAGUAAGUCCUACAGAAAACAAAACACCAUACGAAUCAAGCAGAAUAAAACCUUCAUAACUUCCCACUUUUCAAAAUUGUCUACCAAGGAACCUUUUGAUGAAUACAGGAACAAAUUCCCACCCAUUCUAACCAUGUUUGCAUCUUAAACAUAUCUUCUUUGGGCAAAGGGAGAAAUGGUUAAAAAAAUCCUCCAAUGCAACAACACUACGUGAAGCCAAUGUUAAUUUGAACCGGAUCCUUGAUCAUGUUUAACAAUCAUACAUUGAUCAUCGAUUUGUGUUCUGCGAAUAUUUUAAUACCACGGCAUGAGGAACAAUUUGCUAAGAAUGGAAAAUGCACAACCUUUAAACAGUUUUGUAGUAGUUUUUGGUUUGAAUUUGGAAGCAACUUUGAGCACAGCUAAGUGAACCCAUUUAAGAGGGUAAAUCUCUCACAGUAGCUAUAUUUUCCAUUUGUAAGACUUGAACCUAAUACUAUGAAAACCAAUUUCCUUACCAUUUGAACUAACAAGAAGUGUAAUAUAAUAUAAUGGGUCUAUUAACUUGGUAAAAAGGAUCUGCAACUUUUUUCUUUCAGCAAUAGAGACAGUAAUUUAUAUUUAUAUCAUUUUCAAAAAGGAGUUUAUAAUUUAAAAAGAUGAAUUUUUAUAUUAUUGUUUUUUGUAAGUAAAGUAAAGUAUGAUCAUGGAGACAUAUUUAUGCAUAAGACUUAUUAAAACUUCACAUUGGCCUGGUAUGUGGAUAACGUCAUAAAAACUUGGGAAAUCCUCUCAUAAAUCUAAAGAGAAUAGCUGGAGUAAAAUCAAUCUCCCGCGCAGUAGACAAGCCUAGUCUAACAGAUGGUAGUGGUACCAACUAAUUCCACAUGGACCUUACGAGUGUAUUUGCAGGCAAAAUUAAUUCGAACCACAUUAUAGUAGAGAUUACAUUGGUACGUAGUCCAGAAGUUACAAACAUAAU